GACGAACGCUGGCGGCGUGCUUAACACAUGCAAGUCGAACGGAAAGGCCCUGCUUUUGUGGGGUGCUCGAGUGGCGAACGGGUGAGUAACACGUGAGUAACCUGCCCUUGACUUUGGGAUAACUUCAGGAAACUGGGGCUAAUACCGGAUAGGAGCUCCUGCUGCAUGGUGGGGGCUGGAAAGUUUCGGCGGUUGGGGAUGGACUCGCGGCUUAUCAGCUUGUUGGCGGGGUAGUGGCUUACCAAGGCUUUGACGGGUAGCCGGCCUGAGAGGGUGACCGGCCACAUUGGGACUGAGAUACGGCCCAGACUCCUACGGGAGGCAGCAGUGGGGAAUAUUGCACAAUGGGCGGAAGCCUGAUGCAGCAACGCCGCGUGCGGGAUGACGGCCUUCGGGUUGUAAACCGCUUUCGCCUGUGACGAAGCGUGAGUGACGGUAAUGGGUAAAGAAGCACCGGCUAACUACGUG
Molecule: ribosomal RNA, 468 nt
Filed under: uncultured bacterium
Lineage: Bacteria
Description: partial 16S ribosomal RNA
Rfam family: Bacterial small subunit ribosomal RNA
Source: RNAcentral